UACGGGGGGAGCAAGCGUUGUUCGGAUUUACUGGGCGUAAAGGGCGCGUAGGCGGUCAGCACAAGUCAGUUGUGAAAUCUCCGGGCUUAACUCGGAAAGGUCAACUGAUACUGUGCGACUAGAGUGCGGAAGGGGCAACUGGAAUUCUCGGUGUAGCGGUGAAAUGCGUAGAUAUCGAGAGGAACACCUGAGGUGAUGACGGGUUGCUGGGCUGACACUGACGCUGAGGCGCGAAAGCCAGGGGAGCAAACGGG
RNAcentral lists this ribosomal RNA (254 nucleotides) under uncultured bacterium. RNAcentral's name for it is "partial 16S ribosomal RNA". It matches the Rfam family "Bacterial small subunit ribosomal RNA", at positions 524 to 776 of the family's 1533-position model. The record is from RNAcentral.